GGGUCAGUAGGUUGGUCGUGCCACCGGUACGUACUGGUCUCACUGAUUCCUCCUUCCUGAAGAACCGUAAUGCCAUUAAUUUGGUGUUGCGGGGAAACAGGACUGUUACUUUGAAAAAAUAAGAGUGUUUAAAGCAAGCUAACGCUUGAAUACAUUAGCAUGGAAUAAUGAAAUAGGACGAUCGAUCCUAUUUUGUUGGUUUCUAGGAUUGACGUA
RNAcentral lists this ribosomal RNA (216 nucleotides) under Glomeromycotina sp. RNAcentral describes it as "partial small subunit ribosomal RNA". The stretch from base 40 to 216 matches the Rfam family "Eukaryotic small subunit ribosomal RNA", at positions 686 to 864 of the family's 1831-position model. Lineage: Eukaryota; Fungi; Glomeromycota. The record is from RNAcentral.